Molecule: ribosomal RNA, 1188 nt
Filed under: uncultured Bacteroidota bacterium
Lineage: Bacteria; Pseudomonadati; Bacteroidota
Description: bacterial SSU rRNA
Rfam family: Bacterial small subunit ribosomal RNA
Source: RNAcentral
AUCCUGGCUCAGAUUGAACGCUGGCGGUAUGCUUAACACAUGCAAGUCGAACGGUAGCAGGUACUUCGGUAUGCUGACGAGUGGCGGACGGGUGAGUAACGCGUAGGAAUCUACCUAUCUGUGGGGGAUACCAGUUGGAAACGACUGUUAAUACCGCAUAAUAUCUGAGGAUUAAAGGUGGCAACUUGUUGCUGCCGCGGAUGGAUGAGCCUGCGUUAGAUUAGCUUGUUGGUGGGGUAAAGGCCUACCAAGGCUGCGAUCUAUAGCUGAUUUGAGAGGAUGAUCAGCCACAUUGGAACUGAGACACGGUCCAAACUCCUACGGGAGGCAGCAGUGGGGAAUAUUGGACAAUGGGGGAAACCCUGAUCCAGCAAUACCAUGUGUGUGAAGAAGGCUCUAGGGUCGUAAAGCACUUUAGUCAGGGAGGAAGGCCUUGUCGUUAAUAGCGGCAGGGAUUGACGUUACCUGAAGAAUAAGCACCGGCUAACUCCGUGCCAGCAGCCGCGGUAAUACGGGGGGUGCAAGCGUUAAUCGGAAUUACUGGGCGUAAAGGGUUCGUAGGCGGUUUAUUAAGUCAGAUGUGAAAGCCCAGGGCUCAACCUUGGAACUGCAUUUGAUACUGGUAGACUAGAGUAUAGUAGAGGAGUGGGGAAUUUCUGGUGUAGCGGUGAAAUGCGUAGAGAUCAGAAGGAACACCAAUGGCGAAGGCAACACUCUGGACUAAUACUGACGCUGAGGGACGAAAGCGUGGGGAUCAAACAGGAUUAGAUACCCUGGUAGUCCACGCUGUAAACGAUGAGUACUAGCUGUUGGAUUCGGUGUAAAGGAUCUAGUGGCGUAGCUAACGCGGUAAGUACUCCGCCUGGGGACUACGGUCGCAAGACUAAAACUCAAAGGAAUUGACGGGGACCCGCACAAGCGGUGGAGCAUGUGGUUUAAUUCGAUGCAACGCGAAGAACCUUACCUGGUCUUGACAUCCUGCGAACUUUCUAGAAAUAGAUUGGUGCCUUCGGGAACGCAGUGACAGGUGCUGCAUGGCUGUCGUCAGCUCGUGUCGUGAGAUGUUGGGUUAAGUCCCGUAACGAGCGCAACCCUUGUCCUUAGUUGCCAGCACGUAAUGGUGGGAACUCUAAGGAGACUGCCGGUGACAAACCGGAGGAAGGUGGGGACGACGUCAAGUCAUCAUGG